AUGGCACCGUCGUUCUGGGGCCCCGAGUUCCCCCCGCAGCCGGCUGCGGUGUUCGACGACCUCGCGCCCGUGGAGGCGGAGGACGCGUACGAGGACGAGAUGGAGGAGGAGGAGGAGGGCGAGGGGGACGAGGAGCAUGAGCACGGCAGCGACGGGGAGGUCGUCCCGAUGGACAUCGAGGACCUGGGGGAGGCGCACCUCUCCUGCGGCUGCGGCCGCAACCUGCUCACCCUGUGCUUCCGGGGCGUUGUGCACAUCUUCAUGUCCGCCUCCCCUGACAAGGUGUCGCAGGUGGAAGCUGCACUUUCGCUGCAGGGGCGAUUGGAUCCGGCGGACUCUACGACUGUGCCGCCCGCCGCGCGCAACACGCUCACCAUGACCUUCCGGGGCCAGGAGUGCAGUUUCGACUCUGUAACCCCUGACGAGGUGCAAGAUGUACUUUUGUCGCUCGCGGGAAGGGAGCUGAUGGUCCCUAGGAUUGAGCUCAAAAUGGAGUUCCUGCACGGGAGCUACGACUUCGACUCUGUAUCCCCUGAUAAGUUGCAAGCUGUACUUUCGCUGCUGGGGGGAAUGGAGCUGACGGUCUCUACGGCUCUGCCAUGUGCCAACAACCAGCUCACUGAACCCUUGAUAUGCUGGAUCGACGUGUUCGACCCUGUAUUCCCUGAUAAGAUGCAAGCUUUACUUUCGCUGCUCGGGGGAAACGAGCUCAACCCAGGCAUUGGUGGUGGAGCAUCACCAUCAGUUCCAUACAGACUAUUUUUACAGUCUAUAGACCAUGUUUGGUAA
This 789-nucleotide ribosomal RNA is filed under the name Triticum aestivum (bread wheat). RNAcentral describes it as "partial small subunit ribosomal RNA". The record is from RNAcentral. Lineage: Eukaryota; Viridiplantae; Streptophyta; Magnoliopsida; Poales; Poaceae.